Podarcis lilfordi (Lilford's wall lizard) is the source of this 73-nucleotide non-coding RNA. NCBI's taxonomy places the organism in Eukaryota, Metazoa, Chordata, Lepidosauria, Squamata, Lacertidae. The record is from the annotation of a GenBank genome assembly.
GAAUAACUUAGUCGGUAAAGUAUGAGACUCUGCAUCUCUGGGUCAUGGGUUUGAGCCCCACAUUAGAUAAACG